CCCCCACCACCACAACAUCUACACUGUGUCAUCCAGAUGGAACUUUCCUUCCCACCACCACAACAUCUACACUGUGUAAUCCAGAUGGACCUUUCCUUCCCCCACCACUACAACAUCUACACUGUGUCAUCCAGAUGGACCUUUCCUUCCCCCACCACCACAACAUCUACACUGUGUCAUCCAGAUGGAACUUUCCUUCCCACCACCACAACAUCUACACUGUGUCAUCCAGAUGGAGCUUUCCUUCCCCCACCACCACAACAUCUACACUGUGUCAUCCAGAUGGACCUUUCCUUCCCCCACCACCACAACAUCUACACUGUGUCAUCCAGAUUGAACUUUCCUUCCCCCACCACCACAACAUCUACACUGUGUAAUCCAGAUGGACCUUUCCUUCCCCCACCACCACAACAUCUACACUGUGUCAUCCAGAUGGACCUUUCCUUCCCACCACCACAACAUCUUCACUGUGUCAUCCAGAUGGAACUUUCCUUCCCCCACCACCACAACAUCUACACUGUGUCAUCCAGAUGGAACUUUCCUUCCCCCACCACCACAACAUCUACACUGUGUCAUCCAGAUGGACCUUUCCUUCCCCCACCACCACAACAUCUACACUGUGUCAUCCAGAUGGAACUUUCCUUCCCACCACCACAACAUCUACACUGUGUCAUCCAGAUGGAACUUUCCUUCCCCCACCACCACAACAUCUACACUGUGUCAUCCAGAUGGAACUUUCCUUCCCCCACCACCACAACAUCUACACUAUGUAAUCCAGAUGGAACUUUCCUUCCCCCACCACCACAACAUCUACACUGUGUCAUCCAGAUGGAACUUUCCUUCCCCCACCACCACAACAUCUACACUGUGUCAUCCAGAUGGACCUUUCCUUCCCCCACCACCACAACAUCUACACUAUGUAAUCCAGAUGGAACUUUCCUUCCCCCACCACCACAACAUCUACACUGUGUAAUCCAGAUGGAACUUUCCUUCCCCCACCACCACAACAUCUACACUAUGUAAUCCAGAUGGAACUUUCCUUCCAACCACCACAACAUCUACACUGUGUAAUCCAGAUGGACCUUUCCUUCCCCCACCACUACAACAUCUACACUGUGUCAUCCAGAUGGACCUUUCCUUCCCCCACCACCACAACAUCUACACUGUGUCAUCCAGAUGGAACUUUCCUUCCCACCACCACAACAUCUACACUGUGUCAUCCAGAUGGAGCUUUCCUUCCCCACCACCACAACAUCUACACUGUGUCAUCCAGAUGGACCUUUCCUUCCCCCACCACCACAACAUCUACACUGUGUCAUCCAGAUGGAACUUUCCUUCCCCCACCACCACAACAUCUACACUGUGUAAUCCAGAUGGAACUUUCCUUCCCCCA
RNAcentral lists this long non-coding RNA (1393 nucleotides) under Salmo salar (Atlantic salmon). Its description in RNAcentral is "lncRNA (ENSSSAG00000113479.1)". The record is from RNAcentral. Lineage: Eukaryota; Metazoa; Chordata; Actinopteri; Salmoniformes; Salmonidae.